Molecule: ribosomal RNA, 548 nt
Filed under: uncultured bacterium
Lineage: Bacteria
Description: partial 16S rRNA
Rfam family: Bacterial small subunit ribosomal RNA
Source: RNAcentral
UAGGGAWUCUUCCGCAAUGGGCGAAAGCCUGMCGAAGCAAUGCCGCGUGAGUGAUGAAGGUUUUSGGWUSGUAAAGYUCUGUUGCCAGGRAAGAMCGCUUGGGAGAGUAACUGCUCUCAAGGUGMCGGUMCCUGAGAAGAAGCACSGGCUAACUCCGUGCCAGCAGCCGCGGUAAUACGUAGGGGGCAAGCGUUGUCCGGAAUUAUUGGGCGUAAAGCGCGCGCAGGCGGUCAUUUAAGUCUGGUGUUUAAUCCCGGGGCUCARCCCCGGAUCGCACUGGAAACUGGGUGACUUGAGUGCAGAAGAGGAGAGUGGAAUUCCACGUGUAGCGGUGAAAUGCGUAGAUAUGUGGAGGAACACCAGUGGCGAAGGCGACUCUCUGGGCUGUAACUGACGCUGAGGCGCGAAAGCGUGGGGAGCAAMCAGGAUUAGAUACCCUGGUAGUCCACGCCGUAAACGAUGAGUGCUAGGUGUUAGGGGUUUCGAUACCCUUGGUGCCGAAGUUAACACAUUAAGCACUCCGCCUGGGGAGUACGGUCGCAAGACUG